GAGUGGCGAACGGGUGAGUAAUAUAUCGGAACGUGCCCAGUCGUGGGGGAUAACGCAGCGAAAGCUGUGCUAAUACCGCAUACGAUCUCUGGAUGAAAGCGGGGGACCUUCGGGCCUCGCGCGAUUGGAGCGGCCGAUAUCAGAUUAGCUAGUUGGUGGGGUAAAAGCUCACCAAGGCGACGAUCUGUAGCUGGUCUGAGAGGACGACCAGCCACACUGGAACUGAGACACGGUCCAGACUCC
RNAcentral lists this ribosomal RNA (243 nucleotides) under uncultured bacterium. RNAcentral describes it as "partial 16S ribosomal RNA". It matches the Rfam family "Bacterial small subunit ribosomal RNA", at positions 93 to 339 of the family's 1533-position model. The record is from RNAcentral.